Non-coding RNA from Podarcis lilfordi (Lilford's wall lizard), 1413 nucleotides. The record is from the annotation of a GenBank genome assembly. NCBI's taxonomy places the organism in Eukaryota, Metazoa, Chordata, Lepidosauria, Squamata, Lacertidae.
AUUUCUAUAUCAACUCUCUAGCAGUAAAUAUGGCGAAAGAAAAUGCCCACCCUCCCAAACUGGCAGGUAUUCCCAUCCCGGUGCUUCUGUAUGCGGACGACGCAGUCCUACUCUCCUUUUCCUGCAUUGGCCUGAGGAAGCUUUUGAGAUCACUUGCUGACUAUUGUCAAGCGGAACAACUAUCAAUAAAUUACAGCAAAUCUAAAAUUAUGGUGUUUUCAAAAAAAAGAAGGAAACACAAAUGGAGAAUUAAUGGUCAACCUAUUGACCAGGUAGCAACUUUCAAAUACCUGGGAAUAACUUUUCAGGAAAGGGUCUCGUGGCAUCAACAGAUGAAAAACGCCAUUGCCAACGCAGGAAGGGCUAAUAAAGCCCUUACAAGAUUUUUUCACGGGAAAGGGGGUAAAUACGUUCCGGCGGCCUCCCAGGUUUUUGCUGCAAAAAUACUCCCACAACUUACUUAUGGAUCCCAGGUUUGCAGUUUUAAAAAUUUUGCGCCUAUGGAGGCAUUUCAAACAAAAUUCUAUCGGUGUUUAUUGGGGAUCCCCCCCUGUGUAUCUAAUAUAGCUGUCCGCUUAGAAGUUGGACAACCACCCGUUAAUGCGCGGCUGUGGAUUCUAAAGAUACACUACUGGUUAAAACUUAUUUUUCCCCCGGCCGGUUUGGCUCCUUUAACACUCUUAGACACCUUUCAUUCCACCUGGAAAGCUUCCCUGUUUGAAAAGAUAAGAAGCUUGGGAUUCUCCCCGCAGAUCUUGAUAGCGGCAGGAUAUGAGAGAGCCAGAAGUCAAGUGCUCCAACGCAUUAGGGACAUAGAGCUGCAAUGUCAUAUGGGCAAAAUGGAUAAACAUGCCAUAAUUAGAGACUUUGGGAGAGGGUUCUCACCCGCAAAUUAUUUGGCUGAUUUACAAAUACCUAAGUACAGACACUCCUUUACCCUGGCCAGAUUUAACGUUCUGCCCUCUGCCCUGCUGCUAGGCAGAUAUGAGGGCAAACCAUAUGAGUCACGUGUUUGCCCGUGUGGCUCAUCGGAAGUGGAAACAAGUCUGCAUGUAUUGCUGCACUGUAGUUACUAUGAGGAUCUACGCUUGACCUUUAUUGCCCCAGUUCUACAAAAGCUUAAAAAUGAACCAGAACUCCAACGUAUGAGAGCCUUGGUAGAAGAUAAGGUUUCUGAAAUUACGAUCAAUGUGGCCAAAUUUUGUGUAGCCGCUAUUAGGCGCAGGAAACAAGAGCUUUCCAAUGUCAUUACGCAGGCGAAGGCAAAUACUUAAUUUUUUAUUUAUGCUGUCUAAUUUUAAAUUGCAGUUAUGUAUUGAAAUUGUCCUUUGUUUUUUCCGGUGUUAUGCUUCGCUGACUAGCUGUACGAGUUAAUCUGGUCUGUGACCGUUUAAUAAAUUUGAUUUGAUUUGA